UUAAUACCGGAUAGAUCAAAGAUACUGGAAUGUUCUCUGGUCUAAAGCUCCGGCGCUCAAGGAUGGGUCUGCGGCCUAUCAGGUAGUAGUGGGUGUAACGUACCUACUAGCCUACGACGGGUACGGGUUGUGAGAGCAAGAUCCCGGAGAUGGAUUCUGAGACAUGAAUCCAGGCCCUACGGGGUGCAGCAGGCGCGAAACCUUUACACUGCGGGCAACCGCGAUAAGGGGACCCCGAGUGCCAGCACCUAGUGCUGGCUGUCCCGCUGUUUAAAUCACAGUGGUUAGCAAGGGCCGGGCAAGACCGGUGCCAGCCGCCGCGGUAACACCGGCGGCCCGAGUGGUAGCCGCUAUUAUUGGGUUUAAAGGGUCCGUAGCCGGCCUAUUAAGUCUCUUGGGAAAUCUGGCGGCUCAAUCGUCAGGCGUUCA
Molecule: ribosomal RNA, 429 nt
Filed under: uncultured archaeon
Lineage: Archaea
Description: bacterial SSU rRNA
Rfam family: Archaeal small subunit ribosomal RNA
Source: RNAcentral